This 962-nucleotide ribosomal RNA is filed under the name uncultured eukaryote. Its description in RNAcentral is "SSU rRNA". It matches the Rfam family "Eukaryotic small subunit ribosomal RNA", at positions 624 to 1612 of the family's 1831-position model. The record is from RNAcentral.
AAGCUCGUAGUUGAACUUCAGACCUGGCCGGGUGGUCUGCCUCACGGUAUGUACUGUCUGGCUGGGUCUUACCUCUUGGUGAGCCGGCAUGCCCUUUACUGGGUGUGUCGGGGAACCAGGACUUUUACCUUGAGAAAAUUAGAGUGUUCAAAGCAGGCCUAUGCCUGAAUACAUUAGCAUGGAAUAAUAAAAUAGGACGUGCGGUUCUAUUUUGUUGGUUUCUAGAGUCGCCGUAAUGAUUAAUAGGGAUAGUUGGGGGCAUUAGUAUUCAGUUGCUAGAGGUGAAAUUCUUGGAUUUACUGAAGACUAACUACUGCGAAAGCAUUUGCCAAGGAUGUUUUCAUUAAUCAAGAACGAAGGUUAGGGGAUCGAACACGAUCAGAUACCGUUGUAGUCUUAACAGUACACUAUGCCGACUAGGGAUCGGGCGAACUCAAUCUUAUGUGUCGCUCGGCACCUUACGAGAAAUCAAAGUCUUAGGGUCCUGAGGGGAGUAUGGUCGCAAGGCUUGAAACUUAAAGGAAUUGACGGAAGGGCACCACCAGGAGUGGAGCCUGCGGCUUAAUUUGACUCGACACGGGGAAACUCACCAGGUCCAGACAUGACUAGGAUUGACAGAUUGAUAGCUCUUUCAUGAUUUUAUGGGUGGUGGUGCAUGGCCGUUCGUAGUUGGUGGAGUGAUUUGUCUGGUUAAUUCCGAUAACGAACGAGACCUUAACCUGCUAAAUAGCCCAGUCGGCUUUGGCUGAUUGCUGGCUUCUUAGAGGGACUGUCUGUGUCUAACAGACGGAAGUUUGAGGCAAUAACAGGUCUGUGAUGCCCUUAGAUGUUCUGGGCCGCACGCGCGCUACACUGACAGAGCCAGCGAGUUAUUCACCUUGGCCGGAAGGUCUGGGUAAUCUUGUGAAACUCUGUCGUGCUGGGGAUAGAGCAUCGCAAUUAUUGCUCUUCAACGAGGAAUU